Molecule: transfer RNA, 73 nt
Filed under: Monodelphis domestica (gray short-tailed opossum)
Lineage: Eukaryota; Metazoa; Chordata; Mammalia; Didelphimorphia; Didelphidae
Rfam family: tRNA
About the family: Transfer RNA (tRNA) molecules are approximately 80 nucleotides in length.
Source: Rfam by way of RNAcentral
GCCUGGGUGGCUCAAGAGAUAGAGUGCUUGAUUUAGAAUCAAGGAGACCUUUGUUUGAAUUCUGUCUCAGGCA